Molecule: ribosomal RNA, 254 nt
Filed under: uncultured bacterium
Lineage: Bacteria
Description: partial 16S ribosomal RNA
Rfam family: Bacterial small subunit ribosomal RNA
Source: RNAcentral
UACGUAGGGACCGAGCGUUGUCCGGAAUCAUUGGGCGUAAAGAGCGUGUAGGCGGCCUUUUAAGUCCUGCGUGAAAUCCUGCGGCUCAACCGCAGACGGUCGUGGGAAACUGGAAGGCUAGAGUGCGGGAGAGGAGAGUGGAAUUCCCGGUGUAGCGGUGAAAUGCGCAGAUAUCGGGAGGAACACCGGUGGCGAAGGCGGCUUCCUGGACCGACACUGACGCUGAGGCGCGAAAGCUAGGGGAGCAAACGGGG